GCAUCGAUGAAGAACGUASCGAAAUGCGAUACUUGGUGUGAAUUGCAGAAUCCCGUGAACCAUCGAGUCUUUGAACGCAAGUUGCGCCCGAAGCCAUUAGGCCGAGGGCACGUCUGCCUGGGCGUCAC
RNAcentral lists this ribosomal RNA (128 nucleotides) under Penstemon euglaucus. Its description in RNAcentral is "partial 5.8S ribosomal RNA". It matches the Rfam family "5.8S ribosomal RNA", at positions 30 to 154 of the family's 154-position model. From Rfam's summary of the family: 5.8S ribosomal RNA (5.8S rRNA) is a component of the large subunit of the eukaryotic ribosome. It is transcribed by RNA polymerase I as part of the 45S precursor that also contains 18S and 28S rRNA. Lineage: Eukaryota; Viridiplantae; Streptophyta; Magnoliopsida; Lamiales; Plantaginaceae. The record is from RNAcentral.